AUUUCCACAAAUUUUUCUUCCCCUUUAGCACAAAUAAAUGAUAAUUUUCACCCUCACCCUCAAGUCAAUGGCGAUUAUUUUUUUUUUAAUAAAAAAUCACCAGUACAAAUCUGGUGGUUUCAACGAAGCAAGAGACGAGUCAAUGGAAGAAAGACCUGCCUGGGAUGAAGCUUCUUCUUUAUUCUUUAUCAGCAAUAAGCUCAAUCUCUCUUCAAUAUGGCGGAACCUGAAGCAUCCACGUCUAAUAAUAACUCAGAAAACCAGGAGUUCGUCGCAAAGAUUCGCGAGAAUGAGAGAGAGAUCAUGCAGCUAAGGAAACGUCUUGCGGAUUAUUCCAUUAAGGAAGCACAAAUACGCCAUGAAAAUGAUGAUUUGCAAAAGCGAAUUGCAGAUAUCCGUGCGGUCUUUGAUCAACGGCAACAAAACCUAGAAGAUGCAGAAUCGAAAGCUUCGUCAUACAGACAGCAAAUUAUUGAAGAGAAUAUUCAUCUCGAAUAUGCCUUGCAGAAUGCAGAGGAAGAAAAAUUAACAUUUAUGUCAACGUUGUUGCCUCUUCUCGCUCAAUACUCCUUCCAGCCACCUGAUCCUCCUGAUGCACCCUCCGUUGUUAGCAAUAUCAAGGUUUUGUUUAAACAUUUGCAGGAACAAGUUAUUUACAAGGAGAAUCAAGAAAGGAUGGGACUGGUCCCUCAGUCAGUUCCUGAUCGGGACAUAUCGGGCGGUCAUCGGAGAGACUUGGUGGGACGUAAUGGUGCGGCAAAUAAGGUAGGAGCUGAUGAAUCAGGGAGACAAAUAACAAGCGGGAAUUCAUUCUAUGGUGUGCCCACGAAGACGGGCAGCACAUCUCGCGAACCUGGGAGCAACAAUGCAGAGGCGAACGCUCAUAGUGGAGAUGCAAAUCGGAAUGAAAGAGAAAAUUCCUCUAACCGGAGUUCAGAUGCAGAUGCAGAUGAUGAUCCUCUACCAGCUUUUGAGGAUCUCCAAAUUAUCGGAGAAGCUUUUCCAGGAAGGGAACUUCUUGCAUGUGGAUACUCUAUAAAUGGCACCAGUAUUUGUAAUUUUGAGUGGAUUCGGCAUUUUAAAGAUGGAGCUGUCAAUAUUAUUGAUGGUGCAAUGCGACCCGACUAUCGUGUCACUGCCGAUGAUGUUGAUACAUACCUUGCCGUUCAAGUUCUGCCUCUGGACGAGAGAAAUCGCAAGGGAGAACCUGUGACUGUUUAUGCAAAUGAUAAGAAAAAGAUCACUUGUGAUGCUGAAAUGCAGAGCCACAUUGAGAAGACUCUCUAUAGUGGACGUGCUUCUUAUGAAGUCUCUCUUUCGACUGGAUAUCUUGAUAUAUGGGAACCAGCUACUCUGGCCAUUAAGAGGCACGGUUACAGUAUCAAAUGCAGGGGAGCAAGAGGAGUUGUAGUGUCGGAAAAAUUUUCUCCAUCUGUCAGUGUUGUGAUUGUUAAGUGAGCGUUUUAACAUUCCAAGUACCUGGAUGUCUAUUCUCAAGACAUUUGGGUAUGAUGUAUGUGGAACAUUUAGAGUUGCAGUAUUUGGUAUUUGGAUUUAGGUAAUCAGGAUUUCCGCUUAUCAAACGCAAUCUUGAGAGGCACACUGUCAAACAUAGUCAUUCCUCCUCCAUUAUAAAACACAAAAUCUCAUCCCAUGGAAAAUUGUUGAUCGUCUCAGCAAAUGUUCCUCGAUAUAUGAUAUAUAUUCUCGAUGGAGAUCAGUAUUUUGUCAGUGCCUUGUAGGAGGGUAUAAAUUGAGAAGUCUGGUUCUAAUGUCGGAAAAGAUACAUCAUGUUAAUGCCCAUUGCAGUUGGUUAUUAAUGGGAAGGUUGCGAUUCCUUAUGGACGUGUUUCGGAAUUUAUAAUGAUCUGUGCUAGUGGUGAUCAGCUUCUGUUGCGGACAGAAAACAACUCGACAGGUGCCAGUAGUUCCAGGGACACAAUCGU
Prosopis cineraria is the source of this 1946-nucleotide RNA transcript. RefSeq lists it as uncharacterized. The record is from RefSeq and is a predicted model, not a curated record. Lineage: Eukaryota; Viridiplantae; Streptophyta; Magnoliopsida; Fabales; Fabaceae. The transcript is spliced from 17 exons.